GUGCAGCAGGCGAGAAACCUCCGCAAUGCGGGAAACCGCGACGGGGGACCCCGAGUGCCGUGGCAACGCCACGGCUUUUCCGGAGUGUAAAAAGCUCCGGGAAUAAGGGCUGGGCAAGGCCGGUGGCAGCCGCCGCGGUAAUACCGGCGGCCCGAGUGGUGGCCGCUAUUAUUGGGCCUAAAAGCGUCCGUAGCCGGGCCCGUAAGUCCCUGGCGAAAUCCCACGGCUCAACCGUGGGGCUUGCUGGGGAUACUGCGGGUCUUGGGACCGGGAGAGGCGGGGGGUACCCCUGGGGGUAGGGGUGAAAUCCUAUAAUCCCAGGGGGACCGCCAGUGGCGAAGGCGCCCCGCUGGAACGGGUCCGACGGUGAGGGACGAAGGCCAGGGGAGCAAAACC
This 396-nucleotide ribosomal RNA is filed under the name uncultured microorganism. Its description in RNAcentral is "bacterial SSU rRNA". It matches the Rfam family "Archaeal small subunit ribosomal RNA", at positions 330 to 726 of the family's 1478-position model. The record is from RNAcentral.